GACCGCAUAGCUCAGUUGGAAGAGCAUUGGGCUAGUAUUCCAAAAGUCGUAGGUUCGAAUCCCGCCGUGGCCA
This is a non-coding RNA of Paramuricea clavata, 73 nucleotides long. Lineage: Eukaryota; Metazoa; Cnidaria; Anthozoa; Malacalcyonacea; Plexauridae. The record is from the annotation of a GenBank genome assembly.